ACGCACACGGGAGGCGAUGACGUCGCGGCUUGCACCCUGGUCGCCUGAGCCGCGCCGAGCCACUGGCGAGACCGACCCGCUUGUUG
RNAcentral lists this non-coding RNA (86 nucleotides) under unclassified sequences. RNAcentral describes it as "c-di-GMP sequence". It matches the Rfam family "c-di-GMP-II-GAG riboswitch aptamer". The record is from Rfam by way of RNAcentral.